RNAcentral lists this long non-coding RNA (234 nucleotides) under Capra hircus (goat). RNAcentral describes it as "lncRNA (ENSCHIG00000005790.1)". The record is from RNAcentral. Lineage: Eukaryota; Metazoa; Chordata; Mammalia; Artiodactyla; Bovidae.
AUGAGCACACCUGCUACAGGUGCAGAACAGGGAAUUUCAGGAACCAUCCAGGCUAUAAGCCAGCCUCAGAGAGCUUCCUGCCCCUGCCACCCAGAUGGGACCUGCAGAAGCCGCCGUGUCCUUGGUACUAGCGUGUGUUUAAACAGAUCUUCUCAACAAGCCAACAGCAGGAGGUGCUGCCCUAAGAGUCUUCGGAUAUCAAGUUACUCUCUGCUCUUGAAACCUCAGUGUUGA